This is a long non-coding RNA of Pantherophis guttatus, 318 nucleotides long. RefSeq lists it as uncharacterized. The record is from RefSeq and is a predicted model, not a curated record. NCBI's taxonomy places the organism in Eukaryota, Metazoa, Chordata, Lepidosauria, Squamata, Colubridae.
AUCAUGAACAAAACAUUUUUGUAUGUUUGAUUAACAGCUGUUAAAUAUACUCAAUUCAAUAAUUAAUUUUCCUGUGUUGAAGCACUUUUGCAAACAUAGUAAUUAUCAAGCCCCACAAAGAUUCCCACAAGAUCAAGAAACAAGAAUUACAGAGACUUGACUAAGCAAGGCUUUGAAAGAAAGAGAGCGCAACCGCAUCGUGAGAGCUUCUCCAGACUUCCCAAAGGUGAAUCCCUGUAAAAGGUGACAGUUUCCUUGCAGGUGGUUGUAAUAUGGAUAGAAUCAACAUACCAAAUAACUGUAGAAGAAGAACCAUGU